UGUGUGUGUGUGUGUGUGUACUGUGUGUGUGUGUGUGUGUGUACUGUGUGUGUGUGUGUGUGUGUGUGUGUGUGUGUGUGUGUACUGUGUGUGUGUGUGUACUGUGUGUGUGUGUGUACUGUGUGUGUGUGUGUGUGUGUGUGUGUGUACUGUGUGUGUGUGUGCACCUUUGUGUGUCAUGACAUGUCCUAUUCUUCCAUCUGUAUUUCUGUCCUCAGUCUGUCAUUAAUGAUCACAAAUGUGUGUCUGUGUGUCAGUGCAGGUUUGGAAGAAGAUGAGAAAAAAGAACAGUCCUUGGUCUGGGCAGCGUUGAAAGGUGCUGGUAUAUUUGACAUUGGCGUUACAAAAACAGUUCACACAAAUUGAUGCUGUAGUGUCAUCGAUUCAAACAGUGAAGACAUGAACAAUGAAAAACACUGCAUGCUCAACUUAGAACGAGGGACAUUCCCAAACGUCUCUUUUCUGAAUGGAUUCUUUAAUAACAUUUUAUAAGCAAUAACAUAUUCAUUUUAUAGAAAAUAAACAUCUCUAGGAAAUACUAUACACAAUUAUAUUAGUACAUCACAUCUUACAUUUAAACAGCGUCAAAUACUUAUAUACACCGUUAAAUAAUGAGAGCAUCAUAAUCAAGAAUCAGAAGAAGAAGAGGUUUGUGGUCUUGUCUGUACUGUACACCCUAAUACUGUAUGUGUCCACUGAUAUGAAGUACUGAAGUACUGUACACUACACCCUAAAGUAGUACUGAAGUACUGUCCACUACACCCUAAAGUAGUACUGAAGUACUGUACACCACACCCUAAAGAGGCUGUCUGUGUGUGUGAGAAUGCUGCAGUAAGGGGAACAGCCUACGCUACUGUGAGUGCCACGUACAGAGAAAGGAAUGAGAGAGACACACUUGAUGUGGAGUCAGAAAACUGAAACAGUCCGAAUACGGACACCGUACAACAGUCACGGUUCCCCAUUUAAUGGGGAGGACUGUGUUACUGUACGGUGUCCAUAUUAUGACAUAUUUGAGUCUCUGUACGGUUGAUUCAGCUCUAUGGUGCUGAGAACUCAAGUCGUGUAGGACUAAGAAUCUAUUGGAGUCGAAUACUUGUUCAUUUUUAUGGAGACAGCAGCCUUUGGUGAUGGAGAGGAUGGACAGAGAUAUUGAUGAAGAACUGUGAUGAGAUGACAUGACGUGUGAGAUGAUGCCGGCCGGGCCCUAAGCCCUGACCUUUAACCUUUAUGGUGAUGAUGUGGCGUCUACUGUACAUCAUGUUGUAUGAGCACACGUCUGACCUUCGACUCGGUGACCUCCAGAGUUUUGCCCCCCAAUAUCCAAAUUAGCACACUACCCACUUAGAAUGAAGCAAUGUAUAAGGCAUGCAUUCUAAAGUAGUACGCUAGUGUGAAUAUUGAAAGCUUUAUUUUUAUAAAAAUGUUUAAUUGAACACAAAGCGGGACAGAUACCAACGCUGACUCAAUGGUGUCGUAUAGCCGCAAUAUGCACAUCAAAAUACAUACCGGAAGAAGAGCGUUAUAUUCAGUCAUUUGUUCUUUCUGUCAAUAUCAGAAUCAUAUUUAGAAUCUGUUAAAACACGCAAUGUACAUUUUUAUAACACUUAAGCGCACAUUGAGAUACAUCCAGGGGAGGGGCGGCUUCUUUUGACGCAUGACAUCUUGAAUUGGAACACGCUCGUUCCCUUCCUUGUACAAGCACACACACACACAGUCCAUGUCACACACACACAGUUGAUGUCAUACACACACCGCGACCUGGAACUCGGACAGCAUAGCCGGAGGGGGCCUAUUCUGGCCAAUCGCAAUCCACCAGGUGUCCAAAAAUGAUAGCGACCGUUCCGGAGGCAGAACAGUGCAGCAUGAAUUUAAAACAGCUCCCUGUCUCUCCCCCUCUCUCUCCCCCUCUCUCUCUGGAGGGGUGGUCUCUAAGUAACCAUGGCUGCCAGGUGUCUAGACUCCAGACACAGACAGACAGGGCUGUGAAAGACUCUCUCAAAACACCGCAGUCCGUCUGUCCGUGAAGGAGACUGUCUGUCAGACAGACAAUGCAGUCCCUCUCUCUGUCUCUCUGUCUCUCUGUCUGGUUAUCAGGGGUGGCUGAGAUAAAGCAGUGCCGUUGCCAGGGGUUACGGGGGUUGCUCUGAGGGACCUGCUGUCUUGUGUCUGUAUUGCUGCCAUUGGUGGUGCCUCAGAGGAUCCCCAGCCGUCCCCAUUGGCUGAUGCGUCUGUCCGUCAUGACGUCUCAUCAUGACUCAUCAUCAUCAGGUUUGGGUGGAGGGAUGUCCUAUCUGUCUGUCUCUCUGUCUUACUGCAUAGGUGAUGCUCACUGGGGCUGGGUAGUGCUCUAUUUUACAAAGCCUGGAAGACAAAGACAAAUUAUGCAUGAGGGCGAUUGCUGUUCACGAAACACGUGCACAAAAAUAAUGUUAUAUAUGAAAAAAAUGAAUAUUGUGCUUUUGUGAGUGUAUGGGUGAUCUGUGUGUGUUGUGUCAUACUGUCUGCAGGUUCAGUAGGUCUCUCUCUGGACAUAUGUACUCAUGCCUGCUGAAAUAGAACGCACCAGCAUUCACAGCACUGCAAUGUGUGUGUGUUAUUCUCCAUGGCCAGUGCAGAAUGGGACCUUUAAUUGCCAUGGUCACUGCAAACAUGAAAGCUGCAGUGUCUGUGUGCCUGAGUCUCUGCUCUGAGCUAACAUGAAAGCUGCAAUGUGUGUGCUUGCGUGCUGGUGUGUGUGUGUGGUUCUGCACUACUGUAGACAUGAAAGCUAGCUGCAGUGUGCGGUAGUGGAGGAUGGAGGAUGCAGCUGGCCAGUGAACUGGCUCCUGUGAAUGACAAGGUGGGAACACCUACUAACUACAUUGGUGUGGUGUUUCCCCCCUUAUCCUCGGCAGUCUCUCUCUCUCUCUCUCUCUCUCUCUCUCUCUGUCUCUCUCUCUCUCUCUCUCUCUCUCUCUCUCUCUCUCUCUCUUUCUAUUCUCUCUCUCUCUCUCUCUCUCUCUUGCUGAAUCUCUCUCUCUCUCUCUCUCUCUCUCUCUCUCUCUCUCUCUCUCUCUCUCUCUAUUCCUCUCUCUGUCUCUCUCUCUCUCUCUCUCUCUCUCUCUCUCUCUCUCUCUCUCUAUUCCUCUCUCUCUCUCUCUCUCUCUCUUCUAUCUCUCUCUCUCUCUCUCUCUCUCUAUCUC
Molecule: long non-coding RNA, 3182 nt
Organism: Oncorhynchus tshawytscha (Chinook salmon)
Lineage: Eukaryota; Metazoa; Chordata; Actinopteri; Salmoniformes; Salmonidae
Source: Ensembl